GAUGAACGCUGGCGGCGUGCCUAAUACAUGCCAGUCGAGCGAACAGAUGAGGAGCUUGCUCCUCUGACGUUAGCGGCGGACGGGUGAGUAACACGUGGAUAACCUACCUAUAAGACUGGGAUAACUUCGGGAAACCGGAGCUAAUACCGGAUAAUAUUUUGAACCGCAUGGAUCAAUAGUGAAAGACGGUUUUGCUGUCACUAAUAGAUGGAUCCGCGCCGCAUUAGCUAGUUGGUAAGGUAACGGCUUAACAAGGCAACGAUGAGUAGCCGACCUGAGAGGGUGGACGGCCACACUGGAACUGAGACACGGUCCAGACUCCUACGGGAGGCAGCAGUAGGGAAUCUUACGCAAUGGGGGAAAGCCUGACGGAGCAACGCCGCGUGAGUGAUGAAGGUCUUCGGAUCGUAAAACUCUGUUAUUAGGGAAGAACAAAUGUGUAAGUAACUAUGCACGUCUUGACGGUACCUAAUCAGAAAGCCACGGCUAACUACGUG
Molecule: ribosomal RNA, 497 nt
Filed under: uncultured bacterium
Lineage: Bacteria
Description: partial 16S ribosomal RNA
Rfam family: Bacterial small subunit ribosomal RNA
Source: RNAcentral